Non-coding RNA from Schistosoma curassoni, 45 nucleotides. The record is from Rfam. Lineage: Eukaryota; Metazoa; Platyhelminthes; Trematoda; Strigeidida; Schistosomatidae.
AUCCAGAUGACGAGUCUCAUAUAAGACGAAACACGCGUCCUGGAU